AUAAUUUAAAAAAAGCAAAUAAUUCCAACUCAUAUCUCUCAUCUUACCUCCUUGGUACCAUCUAGUGCGUAAGAAACAAUGUAAUCAUAUUUUCAUAAAACGAAAACAAUAUAAAAAAUAGUUUAAUAUGUUUAUUAUGGUUUGAUAAAAUAACUUACAAUGUGUUGUAUGAGAAAGAUACUGCUGACUGUCAGACCACAUGAAGCAUGAUGUAUCGCCAUAAAAACUAAAAUUGAAUUUUUUAUUAAAAAUUGUUGUUUAAAAAAAUCACACCAGAGGGACAAUUUAGACCAUUGCCUGAAAAAGUUAAAAACACAAAGUCUUCUUGAUAUAUUCACAAACUCUCGACUGACUAUCCCAUUGUAAAGAUACUGGUAUGUCUCUGUGCUUUUAUAGUUGCACACUGAAGACACGUCACCCCCGAUCAACAACACAAAAUCACUGAAUAUAUCUUCAUAUGAUAUAUCAAAACACUUUAAUCCUCACACUGGUUCAUACAUGGCAGGUGUAGUAAAUAUUUACAAUACUGUUAAAAUCAUGUUUUAUGUGUGCUUCCACGAUACUGUUUUCUACCGGCUGGUUAUUGAAACGGAGGUCUUGUACAAAGAAGGGAAAUACGUCAAAUCACUAACGUCCACAUUCAAAAAUAAGGUGGAUACAGUUCAAGACUAAUAUUUAUUUUAAUCUUUUAUGGUAACACCUCAUUUACUUGUUCAUUUCAGGUGCGAGCCAAGCCAAUUUUAUUUAUUGGGAAACAGGAUAAAAAGGCUUCGAAUAAGUGGGUUGCAUAUAUUAUUACCCAUUGGCACCCCACUCCUGUCACUACAAUUUUUUGGAGGAGAUGCGGAGGGCUUUAUCUUGACAAAAGGUCAGAGUAAUGUUUAUGUUUAGAGAUUUAGGAUUUAAAAUACAUGUAUAUUCCUUUGUUGAUAUGUACAGAUUUUAUGAUGAAAGUAAACUUGUAUUAUAGCAACCUCCACAGGACAGCAGCCUGAGAGCCUUGCCAUGGAGCGGCCUGAGAGCCCUGCUGUGAAAUGGCCGGAGAACCUCACCAAGAAGUCAGAGGCUAUAUUUGUACUAAAUCUUGUUCUUCUGUCUUCUAGACUCUCUCCAACCUCUCUUGCUCCUACUACCUCUACUGCUUUUACAACAAUUUUCUCUCCACUUUUUUUCCCCACCUUUCACUGCCAUGCUCUAAGUUUUUGCCACAGAGGAAGAGGAAGAUAAAGAAAUCUACCUCUUCCCACUAUACCACACUUGUCUCUCUUCAAUUUGCAUCUGUCUCUUCCAGUUCUAAAUCUCAGAAGUGGCCACUGGUGAAGAACAGAAUAAAGGAUAACUUUUCCUGUUACAUCUUACUCCACAAUUUGCUCCUAGUCAAAUAUGUCUUCAUGUUAAUUAAAUUCAUUUAGCUAACCAGGUAUUUGUUAGCCAGUUCACAGUGUUUUAGAGCCCAAUGUCCAAGGACUGUGGUCAAUGUAAAUUCCUGACUUAAAGGGACACUUCACUUUUUUUUGCUAAUUUUCCAGCAGUAAGUUUUACCGUUUUAGAAUCCAUUCAGCUGAUCUCCGCGUCUGGCACUACCACUUUUAGCAUAGCUUAGCAUAAUACAUUGAAUCUGAUUAGGCCAUUAGCAUCACGCCAAAAAAUAACCAAAGAGUUUCGAUAUUUUUCCUAUUUAAAACUUCUUCUGUAGUUACAUCGUGUACUAAGACAGACGGAAAAUUUAAAGUUGUGAUUUUCUCAGCUGAUAUUUCUAGGAACUAUACUCUUAUUCUGUCGUAAUAAUCAAGGACUUUGCUGUCGUAACAUGGCUGCAGAAGGCAUAAUGAUAUAACGCAGUGCCCGAAAAUAGUCCCCUUAGUAUCUUUCAAUAGCAGGGGCAAUUUCCGGGCACUGCGUAAUAUCAUUUUGGUUGAUUGACAAAAACAAGCACAAAUUUGUUUGACACUAAUGGAAAGGACUGCAUAUCACUUCACAUAAAUAUGGACUCAUGUGAUUCACCUACAAAGCAUGGCAUUCAUGGCUUAAUAAACUUUUUGUCUUUUCAUCAUUUCAGGUUGCUGAAAAUGUAGUUGGCAGAAGGUUUCCUUUUCGAUAAAAUAACUGGGGAACAUAUAAAUGAGAGGAAAGCCGAAUUGAAAGUUCACUGGUUACGUGCUCUGUGUGUGGAAAAACUUGGGAUGACACAUAGGAGCCUGCCAGCGAAUUCCAACACAAGUCCCCACAUCCCAACCAGUUUUCAGCAUGACAGCCUACACCUUUACAUUAUCAAGCACCCUUCAACUGUUUAAUUUUGAGUGUCUUUGCUUGCUGUUCUUUAUUAAAGUUUUUGCACAGUA
Non-coding RNA from Paramisgurnus dabryanus, 2342 nucleotides. The record is from RefSeq and is a predicted model, not a curated record. Lineage: Eukaryota; Metazoa; Chordata; Actinopteri; Cypriniformes; Cobitidae.